This is a non-coding RNA of Microcebus murinus (gray mouse lemur), 858 nucleotides long. The record is from RefSeq and is a predicted model, not a curated record. Lineage: Eukaryota; Metazoa; Chordata; Mammalia; Primates; Cheirogaleidae.
CCUUAUUCAGCAAGAGAAAAUACAGACAUUUUUCCUCAUCUGUCCACUCUCUGAUCCUCAGAUUUCUUUGGGCAUUUUAUAAGGCUGUGAAAUCCCAAAGCCUGGGAACCACUGCCCUGUGGGGUCAUGACUCCAACUCCUCACCCUGCUGGGAGUGUGUGGGCCUCCUGUUCUAGAUGUUGACUCGGAGCCCAUACAGAGACCGGCCCUGGAGUUCUUCUGCAAGGUGACAAGUGGGGUCUGCUGUGGCUGCCUCCCUGGAGGUUACCAUGGAGUUUCAGGACCAGGACCUGCAGCAGAGAAGCCCCAGAAUCUUCUGGACUUCUCCAGACCCGGUCAGAGCUGGUGAUUUAACAAGGCUUCAGUUUUGCGCAGGAAGCCUCGCACCUUCCCGGGGCCGCAGAGAUCCUCUCUCCCUUCCGCACUCGACGCAUCCUGAGCUGUGGGUCUCUGCUUCCUGCGAGUGAGUCUCCUAUCCUGUGGCUGGCCUGUCUUUGCCUCCAGGUGGUCGAGAGCUGAGUUGGAACCAGCCUGUGACACUCGGCUUCUCUACCUGCUCACCGUGGGCGAGACCUUGGCCAAGUCUCCUCCCCCUUGAGCCUGCCUUUUCUCAUCUGUUAAGGGGUCUGGGGAGUAAUAAUACUGUGCUUCCCCGAAAACAAGACCUACCCAUAAAAUAAGCCCUAGCAGGAUUUCUAAGCACGUGCGCAACAGGAGCCCCACCCCGAAAAUCAGCCCUAGUGCUGGGCGUGGCUACGCAGCGCAUCUGCACAACCCCUGCAUUGCGUUGUGGAGCGGGAAAGACGACGAGCAGCCCUUCUCACCUGCCCCGGGAGAGCUCUAGUGCUCGACAGGAGA